AUGGAUGGAAAGAGAAGAAAAAAUGGCAACCAGACUGAGCCUAGUAGUAAUCAAAAACACGAAAAUGGAACAACUGAUGAUGAUUGUUUCACCAAUGAAGAUUAUCAGUUAAUUCUAAGCCCGGCAGCACGUUUGUUUCAUUCACCAAAAUUCAAUUGUUUUGUUCUUGUAAGAAUAGGCAGCAAAACUAGGAUCAAUCCGGAAGCUAUUAGAGUUGGCUUGAUGGAAAACUUAAGUAACCAUCCUCGCUUCUGUAGCAAACUGGUAUUACUUACACAUUCAUGGUAACGAGUUUCACUAAAUAUUGAAGACCAUCUCAUUGUCCCAGACGUAGAUUGGGAGAUGGAGCAAGCUGAUCACUUUGUUGACCAGUACAUUUCCAACCUUACCACAAGCCCUCUUGACCUUUCCAAGCCACUAUGGGAAGUCCAUAUCAUCAAUGUCAAAACCUUUGAUGCAAAAGCGGUUGCAGUGACUCGGAUUCACCACUCGAUGGGGGAUGGCGCUUCCCUCAUGUCACUUCUACUAGCUUUUACACGAAAAACAUCGGACCCUGAUGCAUUACCUACUCUUCCUGCUACCAAGAGGAAACUGGGGGAUAGUUUCUCAAGCGAUGGAGACACUAAGACUCCUAUGAAAGGUCCACAUGGGAUGGAGUUUACUACCAUGCGCUUCUUGCGCCGAACGGUUAGUUUGGAUCACAUCAAGCAAGUGAAGAACGCUUUGAACAUGACUGUCAAUGAUGUCAUAUUGGGAGUGACACAAGUAGGUUUCUCACGGUAUUUGAACAACAGAUACGGUGAAAAUCGAAAGGAUGAGGGAGCAAAACAGAAGGGGCACAAUAAUCUUCCGAAAGGCAUCCGCCUUAGAGCAUACAUUCUUGUGAAUUUACGACCAGCUAUUGGGAUCCAGGAUAUGGCAGAUAUGAUGGCUAAGACCAAGUGUGGUAAUAAAAUUGGAGAUGUCCUUCUCCCCUUCACCAUUGCUCUACAAGAUGACCCUUUGGACUAUGUUCGUGGAGCUAAGUCGCUUAUGGAUCGAAAAAAACAUUCACUUGAAGCUUUUUGCACAUACUUAUGUACCAAUCUUGUGAUCAAUCUAAUUGGAGCUAAGCUGGAGCAGUGGCACACAAAAUUCUUUCUAAUUCCACACUAUCAUUCUCUAGCAGUGCAUUUGCAUUUUCAAAGCUAUGCUAACAAAAUGACUACUUGCUUAUCGGUCGACCCAGAUGUAUAUCCUGAUCCUGAAAAGUUGUUGGAUGAUUUAGAGGAUUCACUCAAACUCAUCCACGAUGCGGUUGUUGACAAGGGGCUCUCCAUUUGUUGCUAUACAAUAAAUGUAUAUUAA
Molecule: RNA transcript, 1347 nt
Organism: Fragaria vesca subsp. vesca
Lineage: Eukaryota; Viridiplantae; Streptophyta; Magnoliopsida; Rosales; Rosaceae
Gene name: O-acyltransferase WSD1-like
Exons: 8
Source: RefSeq, a predicted model, not a curated record